GGAGAGUAGGUUAUUGCCAGGGUUUUUAUUUUAUACUUUAAACAUUGAUUUUAUUUUUUAUGUUUUUAGAUGUUCAUGUUUUUGAAUGUUUUAUUCGAAUAAUAUAAAAAAUAAAAUAUAUAUUGACAUGGAUUAAACAAAGAUAUAUAUUAUUCUAUGUUGUAUAAACAAAUUGGCAAAAUAGAGAUGGAAGAUAAAAAUAUGGUCAAAGUAAUAAGAGUCUAUGGUGAAUGCCUAGGAGCUUUAAGGCGAAGAAGGUCGUGGUAAGCUGCGAAAAGCUUGGGGGAGAAGCAAACAUUUAUUGAUCCCAAGAUUACCGAAUGGAGUAAUCCAGCAGCAA
This 340-nucleotide unclassified non-coding RNA is filed under the name Borreliella garinii. Its description in RNAcentral is "partial contains 5S-23S ribosomal RNA intergenic spacer and 23S ribosomal RNA". The stretch from base 204 to 340 matches the Rfam family "Bacterial large subunit ribosomal RNA", at positions 1 to 137 of the family's 2925-position model. The record is from RNAcentral. Lineage: Bacteria; Pseudomonadati; Spirochaetota; Spirochaetia; Spirochaetales; Borreliaceae.